GCCCGGAUAGCUCAGUCGGUAGAGCAGGGGAUUGAAAAUCCUCGUGUCGGUGGUUCGAUUCCGCCUCCGGGCACCA
RNAcentral lists this transfer RNA (76 nucleotides) under Vibrio fluvialis. RNAcentral describes it as "tRNA-Phe". It matches the Rfam family "tRNA". From Rfam's summary of the family: Transfer RNA (tRNA) molecules are approximately 80 nucleotides in length. Their secondary structure includes four short double-helical elements and three loops (D, anti-codon, and T loops). Further hydrogen bonds mediate the characteristic L-shaped molecular structure. tRNAs have two regions of fundamental functional importance: the anti-codon, which is responsible for specific mRNA codon recognition, and the 3' end, to which the tRNAs corresponding amino acid is attached (by aminoacyl-tRNA synthetases). tRNAs cope with the degeneracy of the genetic code in two manners: having more than one tRNA (with a specific anti-codon) for a particular amino acid; and 'wobble' base-pairing, i.e. permitting non-standard base-pairing at the 3rd anti-codon position. RNAcentral also lists the same sequence under 1 other name. Lineage: Bacteria; Pseudomonadati; Pseudomonadota; Gammaproteobacteria; Vibrionales; Vibrionaceae. The record is from RNAcentral.